AGAGAGUUGUCCGAGUGGCUGAAGGAGCACGAUUGGAAAUCGUGUAUGGCGGUAACGUCAUCGCGGGUUCGAAUCCCGCACUCUCUG
RNAcentral lists this transfer RNA (87 nucleotides) under Ignavibacteriota bacterium. RNAcentral's name for it is "Ignavibacteriae bacterium tRNA-Ser". It matches the Rfam family "tRNA". From Rfam's summary of the family: Transfer RNA (tRNA) molecules are approximately 80 nucleotides in length. Their secondary structure includes four short double-helical elements and three loops (D, anti-codon, and T loops). RNAcentral also lists the same sequence under 6 other names. Lineage: Bacteria; Pseudomonadati; Ignavibacteriota. The record is from RNAcentral.